RNAcentral lists this long non-coding RNA (1852 nucleotides) under Homo sapiens (human). Its description in RNAcentral is "HSALNT0208588". Lineage: Eukaryota; Metazoa; Chordata; Mammalia; Primates; Hominidae. The record is from RNAcentral.
AGUCAAACCUUUGUACCCUUGCACCAUUCAGUAGUCAGUGAGGGAGGGGAUAUAAGGGAUAUAACCUUAGGUUAGGCAGUUCUCUUUGAGGAAAGCUUUUGGUCGCGGGGGUUUUCAACUGUGAGCCAUCGGGAGGCUAAGUCUUAGCAGCUAAGAGGAAUGAGUUCUUUGAUCCUGAAUAUAGAGGCAAAAUAUUGCUUCAGUAUACUGAUUCUAAGCAGGUAGAUGGCUGACCACAAAGAGAUACUUGGAGGAAGUGUGAGCCUAAUAGACCAUUCUAACUUCCAGGUAUAUCUUUGUCAGCAGCAUGAAAAUGGACUAAUACAGUCACAAACACAUAGAACUUAGCAAUUGAUGAAACUUACACAUACAGAAUAUCACUCGUUUGCCUGAGGAAAAUUCACAUCUUAAUUACUUUGAGGAAAUCUCCAAGUGCACUGACAUUAUCAAUAGGUCAGUACAGGUCAUUCCUUGCUACCUGUAGAAAUGGACGCCCACCGUACCUGAUGCCAAUGAAACACAACUGUGGCACUCAAUGCUGGAGACCUGUGAUGCUUUUGUGAAUAGAGAGGCAGAUGGAUCCCUCUGCUUAUGCUACAAUAAAUCUGCUCGUAUACAAAAGUAUACAGAGGGUAGUGAGGCACCUCUAUCAUUUCACAUACAUUCAGUCCCAUCCUCAGAAAGCACAACUAUCUUCAGUAUAGCUAGGCUAGCUUGACCUGUGGCUUGUCCUCCAUUUCCAUAGUUGGCAAAUGUUAGACCUGUGUAUACCACCAGCAAGUCUCCUUCUUCCCUAUUGGGAAGUUCCACCUCUAGGGAGAUUCUCAUUAUCCUUCCAGCAAUCUGGUUUCCUUUAUUGCCCUGCCAGUCCAUCAGACGUAUGUGAAUAUGGCAGAAGAUGAAUGGAGAACAGGGACUAUGUGUCCCCUGCAGCAAACUUCUCAGCCCCUUUGCAAAUUAGUGGUUACAAAUGGGGAGGAUGGAGUUUGUACAACUUCAUCAGCAUUGGAGCUCUCUCUUUCACCCAUCUAAGACAAGUUGUUACUUACAUUCACAUCACUUCUGUGAAGUUUGAAGGGAUUCUAAAAGAAUCAAUUUAAAAUAAAAAUGAACAGUUAAAUAACUUGUCCAAAAGCACAUAGCACAUGAGUGAACGUGAUGAGCUUUAAAUCUAGAUAUAACUGACUUCAGACGUAUAUUCUUUAUAUAACAACUUUAUUGAGGUGUACUUGUGCAAUACACUGCACAUACUUAGUGUGUACAUUUUUGUAAGUUUUGGUAUGCUAUACACCCAUGAAAUUAUCACCACAGGAAAAUAAGCAUAUAUAUAUAUAUAUAUAAAACAAAAGUUCCCUCAUGUCUUUCUUUCUGCCCCUCCCUGACCACCACCCUCUGCAUCUCAGGCAACUAUUCAUCUAUUUUCUGUCUAUUGAUUAGUUUGCAUUUCCUAGAAUUUUAUAACAAUGAACAUUCAUAGCACACACUUUUUCCCUCAAUUUCUCUCAUUUAGCAUGAUUGAGAUUAUGUUGUUUGUAUACAAACAGUUCAUUCCAUUUAUUGCAUAACAGGGUUCCAUUAUACUGAUAUGACUAUUUAUUCAUUCACCAAUUAAUGAAUAUUUGGGUUGUUUCCAGUUUGGAACCAUUGCAAAUAAAGCUCCUAUAAUCAUUAAAGUGCAAAAUGCAAUCUUCAUUUGAAGAUAAUAUGCUUUUAUUUCUCUUGGAUAACACAGUGGGUGUAUGUUUAAUUUCUUAAGAAACUGCAACACUGUUUUUCAAUGUGGUUCUACCAUUCUACAUUCACACCAGCAGUGUUGAGAAUUCUAAUUCCUCUACAUCUCAACCAAUACUUG